RNAcentral lists this ribosomal RNA (1194 nucleotides) under Staphylococcus haemolyticus. RNAcentral describes it as "bacterial SSU rRNA". It matches the Rfam family "Bacterial small subunit ribosomal RNA", at positions 25 to 1235 of the family's 1533-position model. Lineage: Bacteria; Bacillati; Bacillota; Bacilli; Caryophanales; Staphylococcaceae. The record is from RNAcentral.
CGGGAUCACUUUUUGUGCAGUCUAUAAUGCAGUCGAGCGAACAGACAAGGAGCUUGCUCCUUUGACGUUAGCGGCGGACGGGUGAGUAACACGUGGGUAACCUACCUAUAAGACUGGGAUAACUUCGGGAAACCGGAGCUAAUACCGGAUAAUAUUUCGAACCGCAUGGUUCGAUAGUGAAAGAUGGUUUUGCUAUCACUUAUAGAUGGACCCGCGCCGUAUUAGCUAGUUGGUAAGGUAACGGCUUACCAAGGCGACGAUACGUAGCCGACCUGAGAGGGUGAUCGGCCACACUGGAACUGAGACACGGUCCAGACUCCUACGGGAGGCAGCAGUAGGGAAUCUUCCGCAAUGGGCGAAAGCCUGACGGAGCAACGCCGCGUGAGUGAUGAAGGUCUUCGGAUCGUAAAACUCUGUUAUUAGGGAAGAACAUACGUGUAAGUAACUAUGCACGUCUUGACGGUACCUAAUCAGAAAGCCACGGCUAACUACGUGCCAGCAGCCGCGGUAAUACGUAGGUGGCAAGCGUUAUCCGGAAUUAUUGGGCGUAAAGCGCGCGUAGGCGGUUUUUUAAGUCUGAUGUGAAAGCCCACGGCUCAACCGUGGAGGGUCAUUGGAAACUGUAAAACUUGAGUGCAGAAGAGGAAAGUGGAAUUCCAUGUGUAGCGGUGAAAUGCGCAGAGAUAUGGAGGAACACCAGUGGCGAAGGCGACUUUCUGGUCUGUAACUGACGCUGAUGUGCGAAAGCGUGGGGAUCAAACAGGAUUAGAUACCCUGGUAGUCCACGCCGUAAACGAUGAGUGCUAAGUGUUAGGGGGUUUCCGCCCCUUAGUGCUGCAGCUAACGCAUUAAGCACUCCGCCUGGGGAGUACGACCGCAAGGUUGAAACUCAAAGGAAUUGACGGGGACCCGCACAAGCGGUGAGCAUGUGUUUAAUUCGAGCAACGCGAAGAACCUUACCAAAUCUUGAACAUCUUGACACUCUAGAGAUAGAGCUUCCCUUUCGGGACAAAAGGACAAGUGUGCAUGGUUGUCGUCAGCUCAUGUCGGAGAAUGUUGAUAAGUCCCGCACGGCGCCAACCUAGCUAGUGCCAUCAUAAGUUGCACCCUAGUGACUGCCGGGUACAAACGAGAAGUUGUAUGACCCUCAAUCCUAUGCUCAGAAUUGGCCUACACACCGUGUCUACAAGUGGC